This is a long non-coding RNA of Pocillopora damicornis (cauliflower coral), 252 nucleotides long. The record is from RefSeq and is a predicted model, not a curated record. NCBI's taxonomy places the organism in Eukaryota, Metazoa, Cnidaria, Anthozoa, Scleractinia, Pocilloporidae.
AGGAUAGAAACCCCACUCAAUGUUCGCAGUGGGCAGUCCAUUACGAACUAUGUCAUAAAAACCCCGAAGCGAUGUUCAGGGAGUGCCCUGUUUCCUGCGGUGCUUGUUAAUUAAAGGCGAUAAGGUAGCUUGGCAACAAAACCGACCGUGCCACACACUUCCCAAAAAAAUGGAAACAUGUUAAUCAUUGUAACUCUGGGUAGCAUUUAACAAUAAACUGAUAACAAUAAAAGAUGGGAAAAGUGAAGGUGA